This 85-nucleotide transfer RNA is filed under the name Felis catus (domestic cat). It matches the Rfam family "tRNA". From Rfam's summary of the family: Transfer RNA (tRNA) molecules are approximately 80 nucleotides in length. Lineage: Eukaryota; Metazoa; Chordata; Mammalia; Carnivora; Felidae. The record is from Rfam by way of RNAcentral.
GCCCGGGUGGCUCAGUCGGUUGAGCGUCCGACUUCGGCUCAGGUCACGAUCUCGCGGUCCGUGAGUUCGAGCCCCGCGCCGGGCU